CAGUCGCCGCGGGAAUACGAAGGGUGCAAGCGUUACUCGGAAUUACUGGGCGUAAAGCGUGCGUAGGUGGUGGUUUAAGUCCGUUGUGAAAGCCCUGGGCUCAACCUGGGAAUUGCAGUGGAUACUGGGUCACUAGAGUGUGGUAGAGGAUAGUGGAAUUUCCGGUGUAGCAGUGAAAUGCGUAGAGAUCGGAAGGAACAUCUGUGGCGAAGGCGACUAUCUGGGCCAACACUGACACUGAGGCACGAAAGCGUGGGGAGCAAACAGGAUCAGAUACCCCUGUAGUCCCUGUCUCUUAUAC
This 301-nucleotide ribosomal RNA is filed under the name uncultured bacterium. Its description in RNAcentral is "partial 16S ribosomal RNA". It matches the Rfam family "Bacterial small subunit ribosomal RNA", at positions 509 to 807 of the family's 1533-position model. The record is from RNAcentral.